RNAcentral lists this ribosomal RNA (204 nucleotides) under uncultured bacterium. RNAcentral's name for it is "partial 16S ribosomal RNA". It matches the Rfam family "Bacterial small subunit ribosomal RNA", at positions 1297 to 1500 of the family's 1533-position model. The record is from RNAcentral.
AUUGCAGUCUGCAACUCGACUGCAUGAAGCUGGAAUCGCUAGUAAUCGCGGAUCAGAAUGCCGCGGUGAAUACGUUCCCGGGUCUUGUACACACCGCCCGUCACACCAUGGGAGUCGGAUAUGCCCGAAGUCAGUGACCCAACCGCAAGGAGGGAGCUGCCGAAGGUGGAGCCGAUGACUGGGGUGAAGUCGUAACAAGGUAAC